AAUUAAGUAUGCCAACAUGAUACUCAAGGUCAAUUUGAAUCAUAUCCUAGUUGUCAAUCUCAAAACUGCCAUUAGGUUCAUGAUUAAAUAAAAACCUUGCACAUGUUCUGAAGUUUUAUAUGCUAAUAAUAGUGAUAAAAAAGUUAGUUGUGUUUCCUCUACUGAGGACUAGUGAAUUAAUUAGUAUUAAACUUGGGAAACUAACACGCAUUAAUCCCGAUUAAAGAAUUAGAUAUGAAAUUAAGAACACUGCAAAUGUAGCCAUCAUUAUGUACUAAUUGUAUUAAUACCCAAACAGGAAGAUUCCUCUUGCCUCUAAUUGAUCCACAGAAGGCACACAGAUUCCAAAGCUGCAUGUUAUUGUAGAAUAGAAUAGCUUCUUUGUCUGCAAACAAAAGAUAUAAUUGCCAUUAAGAUGCAUGAUCUGCAAAGAUUGAAAUUUUAAAUUAGGAACAUGCAGCGAUGCUGUUUAUCCAUGUGAUUCCAAGAAUAAUAUAUAAGGAUGAGUUGGUAGUUUGGUGCAUCUGAACCAUUGCCGCUUCAGCCAGAGAAUAGCAACGAAGCUGAUAACCAAAUCAAGAUGAUAUAAUUGUUAUAGAUUACAGUAUAUUGAUCAUGAUUGUGAUGCUUCAGAUUAUUUUAUAUCUGACUAUCUAUUUUUCUUGAUCAAAUAUUCAAUGUACACGGUUGUUAAAUCAAAGCUCAGAUCUCACAUUUAUUCACAAUCAAGUAGUUUUAUUUUGUAAGUUAGACAUGAAAUGAUAUUCAAAGAUAAAAAAAUUGGUGAUCAUGAUUCAUGAAGAUUUGAAAAAUGGGUUGGUCUCUUUUUCACUUACACUUAUAGCUUUAUUUUAAUGCAUGGAAACAACAACUAAUGCAGUUGUUGUCUCUUCAAUAGAGACAUGCUUAGAAGUAUUGCAGCCAUUGUUUUUUCCAUCAGAGUAGUCCACACGUGUAUGCAGAUAGAAUAUGAAUUGCAUCGAAAAUAUCAUAAUCAUGGAAGUGAGAGAGCAAAAAGAAACAAAGUAUUAGUUGGACAGUUUCUUCAUGUGAGACACUAUAACAUUUUUAUGGCAAUGUUUAGAUCCAAAUCUUGAUAAGUUGGCACUUAUUGAUAUUUGUUUAAGAUUAGAUUCCUUUUCUCUCUAACACUCAUAAUAUAUAUUGGAAAAAUGACAUUCAAAGAAGGUAGAUCCAAAAACUGAAGUCUACAAUCUAAUCAAAGCUAGCUUCUAUUGUCCUUAGAAAAAAUGGAAGCCUUACCUUUGGAUACAAAGUCCCAUUUCCAUGCUCGUUCGAACAGUUUGCCCUCUAUACCACAUCCACUUGUUCUACAAUGCAAUGACCACUUGGAAAGGCU
RNAcentral lists this long non-coding RNA (1360 nucleotides) under Cicer arietinum (chickpea). RNAcentral describes it as "long non-coding RNA (CARI_LNC002142)". Lineage: Eukaryota; Viridiplantae; Streptophyta; Magnoliopsida; Fabales; Fabaceae. The record is from RNAcentral.